Molecule: RNA transcript, 2395 nt
Organism: Cynoglossus semilaevis (tongue sole)
Lineage: Eukaryota; Metazoa; Chordata; Actinopteri; Pleuronectiformes; Cynoglossidae
Gene name: pleckstrin homology domain-containing family A member 1-like
Exons: 13
Source: RefSeq, a predicted model, not a curated record
AAGAAAAACUAAAAUCUAAAGGUUGAUUCUGAAUCACCAAAAUAUAUAAACAAUAUAGAAGUUAAUAUCGAUAACAGCAGCUAAAUGAGAAGUAAACAAUGACGCAGAUAUGAAUGUCCGUCAGAAAUAACAUUUUAAAUUUAAACUGUUUCUCAAAUGAAGCACAACAUCCAUUAUCACCCUGUAAUUACACACAAAAAACAGAAACCAUACAGACAACUGUGGCCCAGAGCCAAUACGGCAGUUACGUUGACGUACCGCUACGGUUCGGUAGCGUCAACGUCAAAUGCGUAGCUGCGUCAGGUCUAUAUACGGAAGUGGGCGUGGCUCAAUGUAAACUGGGUUAAGGGAGAGAAAAAAAUCCGAGCGUACUGCAUCUGCGGAGAUGGGCUGAGACAGUGAGGACGAAUCUUUACGACACAACGGAGCCUACGAGCUAAAAGAGAAGACUGCAACACUCCGGGCCCCAGCAGACCAGGGAAUGUCCCGGCGGCGAGAUGCCUUACGUGGACCGACAGAACCGCAUCUGUGGCUUCCUGGACAUUGAGGAGAAUGAAAGCAGCGGCAAGUUCCUGCGCCGCUACUUCAUCCUGGACACACAGCUGGGAAGCCUGGUGUGGUUCAUGGACAACCCACAGAACCUGCCUGUGGGUGCAGAUUGUGUUGGUUCCCUUAAACUCACCUACAUCUCCAAGGUCAGUGAUGCCACCAAGCUGAGGCCCAAGGCUGAAUUCUGCUUUGUCAUCAAUGCAGGGAUGAGGAAGUUCUUCCUGCAGGCCAAUGAUCAGCAGGACCUGGUGGACUGGGUCAACGCUCUUAACAAGGCCACAAAAAUCACUGUGCCGAAAACCUGUGAAGGCCAGCAGACAUCUGAGAACAACAGGUCUCUCCCAGAUGUCGUUGGAACCAAGAAACAAAUCUCCUACAGGACGGAGAUCAUUGGAGGAGUUCCCAUCGUCACACAGACACAGCACGACGCCGGUGAUGGGGCAGACAGAGCGGAGCGCGACGCCAUGCAUCGCUCCCACAGCCAGCUGCCGUACUUCCUGAGUCGACCCGCUCAGGAACACACCGUCAUCAAGUCAGGAUACUGUGUCAAACAAGGAGCCGUGAUGAGGAACUGGAAGCGGCGAUAUUUCCUCCUGGAAGAGAACUCCAUGAGCUACUUCAAGUCUGAUUUGGAAAAAGAGCCGCUGAGAAUGAUCCCUCUGAAGGAAGUUCACAAAGUCCAGGAGUGUAAACAGAGUGACAUCAUGAUGAGAGAUAAUCUGUUUGAAGUCGUCACAACGUCGAGGACUUUUUACAUACAGGCCGACAGUCCAGAGGAGAUGCACAGCUGGAUCAAAGCCGUCUCAGGGGCCAUCGUAGCCCAGCGGGGGCCCGGGCGGUCUGCUGCCACAGAACACGGCAGUCGCUCCACUUUCUACCGCAGCCACCCGGGUCCCCCCGCCCCUCGCUCGCCCAUAUCUACCGUGCCACCAUGCCUCCCAGAGUGGGGCGCUGCUGUCACGUGCGGCACACGCCCGCAGCCUGGCGUGGGACAGCGAGCACUUCAUGAGCCUGCUGCCGCGGCCCAGCCGCGGCCACUCGCAGGCACGCCUGUCCCUGCAGGAGACGCGCCUGGCAAAGUGACGCCCUCGCCCUGUGUGCCUCCCGUGGCCCCUGUCACCACGUUGGAGGUUGAGGAGUCACCGUGGCGGAGGCGGAGCAGCUUCGAGCCCCACAUGCCUGAAACCCCUCUGGACUUGGAUGAUGCUGACCUGCCUGUGAGUGAGGUCUGAGAUGUUGAGACUGUGGACAGGGUUGCCAUUAAUGAGGAGGAAAGGAAGAAACAAAAUGGAAAUUGACCGGCGUUUGUGCCGAAACUGGCAGUGAAACAUCACAAACUCAGCUCUUCAGCUCCUACCUUGGUGCUGCCAGUGAGAAGGAAACGUGUCGUGGGUGACCUCUGACCUGUCCCUGUGUGCCAAAGAUGCAGUGUUUUAGCCAAGUCCUAUGUGUUUGAGUCCAAGUCUGAGUACAGCUCACCAAAGAACAAGUCAAGUCCACAAAAAACCCUGGAGCUAACAGGUCACUGACCAAACCACUCAGUCAAGAUCUGGCUGAUUUUCACCUCUGAGCCCAAGUGGAAUUCCUAAGAUGGAUGUUUGAGUUCAAAUCCAAUCACCACUGGACGUCCCAAGUCAAAACACCAGUGUUUCUAGUUCAGGUUCUGAGUCCCUCGGCUUUGAGUCAAAGUAAACGAGCGACCAAGAACUUGGUCGAGUCAGAAAAUGCUAGUAUUGAUUUUCUUUAAAAAAAGUUCUUGUUAGUUACAACGAGUGUAAGUCAGAGUUAUUGACCAAGAAGAGAAGUUUGAGUCCAGUUUGAGUCCCGAAAGUUCCGAGUCAGAGGC